RNAcentral lists this transfer RNA (73 nucleotides) under Acropora cervicornis. RNAcentral describes it as "tRNA-Ala". It matches the Rfam family "tRNA". From Rfam's summary of the family: Transfer RNA (tRNA) molecules are approximately 80 nucleotides in length. The record is from RNAcentral. Lineage: Eukaryota; Metazoa; Cnidaria; Anthozoa; Scleractinia; Acroporidae.
UUACUCAUUUCUCAGUGGUUAGAGCACUGCACCGGCAUCGCAGAGGUCAUGGGUUCGAAUCCCGUUGAGUCAC